CAAUAGCGUAUAUUAAAGUUGUUGCGGUUAAAAAGCUCGUAGUUGGAUUUCUGCCGAGGACGACCGGUCCGCCCUCUGGGUGAGCAUCUGGCUCGGCCUGGGCAUCCUCUUGGAGAACGUAGCUGCACUUGACUGUGUGGGGCGGUAUCCAGGACUUUUACUUUGAGGAAAUUAGAGUGUUUCAAGCAGGCAUACGCCUUGAAUACAUUAGCAUGGAAUAAUAAGAUAGGACCUCGGUUCUAUUUUGUUGGUUUCUAGAGCUGAGGUAAUGAUUAAUAGGGAUAGUUGGGGGCAUUCGUAUUUAACUGUCGGAGGUGAAAUUCUUGGAUUUGUUAAAGACGGACUACUGCGAAAGCAUUUGCCAAGGAUGUUUUCAUUGA
RNAcentral lists this ribosomal RNA (380 nucleotides) under uncultured eukaryote. Its description in RNAcentral is "partial 18S ribosomal RNA". It matches the Rfam family "Eukaryotic small subunit ribosomal RNA", at positions 592 to 976 of the family's 1831-position model. The record is from RNAcentral.